This 253-nucleotide ribosomal RNA is filed under the name uncultured bacterium. Its description in RNAcentral is "partial 16S ribosomal RNA". It matches the Rfam family "Bacterial small subunit ribosomal RNA", at positions 202 to 458 of the family's 1533-position model. The record is from RNAcentral.
UAAGACCUCGCGUUAUUGGAGCGGCCGAUGCCGGAUUAGCUAGUUGGUGGGGUAAAAGCCCACCAAGGCGACGAUCCGUAGCUGGUCUGAGAGGACGACCAGCCACACUGGGACUGAGACACGGCCCAGACUCCUACGGGAGGCAGCAGUGGGGAAUUUUGGACAAUGGGCGCAAGCCUGAUCCAGCCAUUCCGCGUGAGUGAAGAAGGCCUUCGGGUUGUAAAGCUCUUUCGCAAGGAAAGAAAACUUAUCU